RNAcentral lists this ribosomal RNA (334 nucleotides) under uncultured eukaryote. Its description in RNAcentral is "partial 18S ribosomal RNA". It matches the Rfam family "Eukaryotic small subunit ribosomal RNA", at positions 1470 to 1796 of the family's 1831-position model. The record is from RNAcentral.
CCCUUAGAUGUCCGGGGCCGCACGCGCGCUACACUGAAGGAAUCAGCGUGGCUUUCUCCCUGACCCGAAAGGGUUGGGAAACCCGUUGAAUCUCCUUCGUGAUAGGGAUUGGGGCUUGAAAUUGUUCCCCAUGAACGAGGAAUUCCCAGUAAGCGCGAGUCAUAAGCUCGCGUUGAUUACGUCCCUGCCCUUUGUACACACCGCCCGUCGCUACUACCGAUUGAACGGUUUAGUGAGGGCCUCGCAUUGGUCUCGGCCCGCUCUUUACCGGGCGGCGCCGUUGGUCGAGAAGACGCUCGAACUUGAUCGUUUAGAGGAAGUAAAAGUCGUAACA